This 567-nucleotide ribosomal RNA is filed under the name Saccharomyces cerevisiae (brewer's yeast). RNAcentral describes it as "partial large subunit ribosomal RNA". It matches the Rfam family "Eukaryotic large subunit ribosomal RNA", at positions 51 to 621 of the family's 3401-position model. The record is from RNAcentral. Lineage: Eukaryota; Fungi; Ascomycota; Saccharomycetes; Saccharomycetales; Saccharomycetaceae.
CGGAGGAAAAGGAAACAACCGGGAUUGCCUUAGUAACGGCGAGUGAAGCGGCAAAAGCUCAAAUUUGAAAUCUGGUACCUUCGGUGCCCGAGUUGUAAUUUGGAGAGGGCAACUUUGGGGCCGUUCCUUGUCUAUGUUCCUUGGAACAGGACGUCAUAGAGGGUGAGAAUCCCGUGUGGCGAGGAGUGCGGUUCUUUGUAAAGUGCCUUCGAAGAGUCGAGUUGUUUGGGAAUGCAGCUCUAAGUGGGUGGUAAAUUCCAUCUAAAGCUAAAUAUUGGCGAGAGACCGAUAGCGAACAAGUACAGUGAUGGAAAGAUGAAAAGAACUUUGAAAAGAGAGUGAAAAAGUACGUGAAAUUGUUGAAAGGGAAGGGCAUUUGAUCAGACAUGGUGUUUUGUGCCCUCUGCUCCUUGUGGGUAGGGGAAUCUCGCAUUUCACUGGGCCAGCAUCAGUUUUGGUGGCAGGAUAAAUCCAUAGGAAUGUAGCUUGCCUCGGUAAGUAUUAUAGCCUGUGGGAAUACUGCCAGCUGGGACUGAGGACUGCGACGUAAGUCAACGCAACUGCAAG